CCCUUAGAUGUUCUGGGCCGCACGCGCGCUACACUGACGAUGGCAACGAGUUUUUCCUUCGCCGAAAGGUGUGGGUAAUCUUUUGAAACAUCGUCGUGCUGGGGAUAGAUCAUUGCAAUUUUUGAUCUUGAACGAGGAAUUCCUAGUAAGCGCGAGUCAUCAGCUCGCGUUGAUUACGUCCCUGCCCUUUGUACACACCGCCCGUCGCUACUACCGAUUGAAUGGUUUAGUGAGGACUCCUGAUUGGCGCCGCCGCCCCGGCAACGGAGCAGCGGACUGCCGAAAAGUUGUUCAAACUUGAACAUUUAGAGGAAGUAAAAGUCGUAACA
This 329-nucleotide ribosomal RNA is filed under the name uncultured eukaryote. RNAcentral's name for it is "partial 18S ribosomal RNA". It matches the Rfam family "Eukaryotic small subunit ribosomal RNA", at positions 1470 to 1796 of the family's 1831-position model. The record is from RNAcentral.